Molecule: non-coding RNA, 1659 nt
Organism: Pocillopora verrucosa
Lineage: Eukaryota; Metazoa; Cnidaria; Anthozoa; Scleractinia; Pocilloporidae
Source: RefSeq, a predicted model, not a curated record
CUCUGACGUCGCGUAAGUCUCUAAAUAGAGGAAUAAAGGGGACGUUUCUAAAGGAACUGUGGUGCUGCGUCGGUGGGAGAGUAUAGCAGGGCAGUUUCGGUAGCGUCUUCGCUGAGCUAGCGACACGGAAAAAGUGCAGAAAAAUCAUCGACAUGACUGCUCUAUCCUUCAUAAGUGGUGAUUAUGUGGGUUUUCGAAGAAAAUGACGGCAGCCGAGCGAAAGCAAGCGGUGGAGGUGCUAGAAGAAAGUUCCUUUAUAUCGAAUACCUCGCGAUAAAUUGCGUGACCUACAAACUCACACCUGUUGAUGCAUUGGAACGCAAACAAAUUUGACGUACGAUGAUUCACCAUGAAAGCGCACGAGUGUCUUAACUAUACGAAGGAAUUCUUUUAUUACAAAACGCUUUCUUACAGAUUUUUAUUGCCUUUCAUUUACGUAAAACGUGUGCCACUGCGAUGAGUGAAGAUCCGGUGCAGAACGAAGUAACUUAAAACGUAGUUACACAUCUUUUUCGACUUGUCACCGGCGUGGGAAAAAAUUCAGGCCAGUGGUGAAUAAAGUUUAUUUUCGAGAGAUUUCGUCAGACGGAGACUUCCAAAAAACGUGGGAUAGCUUUUGGGAAAUUUACCUGAAAGACUCGACAACGAAAAAUGUUGUAUACGCCUCCAAAGGAAGCUUGAAUGGUACACCGUGAUCACAAAAAUGAACUGAUGUUUACAUCAUCACUUCGAUUUUCAGAGCAGUUAAGGUAGCAUCUUCGCUGAGGUAGCGUCUUCGCUAAGCUAGCGACACGGAACAAGUGCGAAAGAUCAUCGACAUGACUGCUCUAUUCUGCAUGAGUGGUGAUUUUGUGGGAACUUGAAGAAAAUGAAGGCAGCCCAGUGCGAGCGGUAGAGCUACCUUAUGUUGAAUGCCUCGCGAUCAGCACAACUGGGCAAAUUGCGUGACUUUCAUAACACAUGAACCUGUUAUUACGUUAGAACGUAGACAAAUUUGGCGUAGGAUGUUUCACCUUGACGGUGCACGACUUUUCAACGAGAUAUUUCAAUAAUCCAUCAACUUUUCGACAAAAAAAGGAAAUUAGGUGGCCGCUAAAAAUCAGCUUAUGUUGGGAAAAUUAAUUAAAAAGUUUUUAGUAUGCACAGUAUUUCCGCCUACGUGACAACUGUCAUAGUCACAACAGAGAACGUCAUCAGCUGUCAGCAAUUUUCUUUCCCUUUUUGCUAAGAGUGCACGAAACCUACGGACAACGAAUGGACUAAUUUACCACGUUCGGAUUUGAUUUCCAUACAUUGCUAUCUAUGCGUGAAUUGAUUUCCGUGAUUUAGAAUGGAGAAAUAUUUGCAUGAUUUGAACGAGGGCUGAACUGGAAUAUUGACUGUAAAUUAUUUUGUACUGCAGCCAGACUGUUCACAUGAAUAAUAACAUCUUUUUUUACUAUAAUAGCGAAAUGAUGUAAAUUAAAGAUAAAACAAAAAUUAGGUGUAUGUAAAGCAAUGUAAAUGGAAGCAGUCCUUUACUUUCUAAUACUUUUCUCCGAGCUGUCGAGGAAACGUAAUUCAGACUACGUUUACGCGUAAGUGUAUCAGUUGGAUCAAAACUUUGUCACUUAAGGGUCCCUUUUGCUGGAUUUAGCGAGAAAAGAAUUGAAACAAUUA